This 796-nucleotide ribosomal RNA is filed under the name uncultured Alphaproteobacteria bacterium. RNAcentral describes it as "bacterial SSU rRNA". It matches the Rfam family "Bacterial small subunit ribosomal RNA", at positions 32 to 874 of the family's 1533-position model. The record is from RNAcentral. Lineage: Bacteria; Pseudomonadati; Pseudomonadota; Alphaproteobacteria.
GACGCUGGCGGCACGCUUAACACAUGCAAGUCGAACGAGAUCUUCGGAUCUAGUGGCAGACGGGUGAGUAACGCGUGGGAACCUGCCCAGUAGUAGAGAAUAACUUGGGGAAACUUAAGCUAAUACUUUAUACGUCCUUCGGGAGAAAGCUUUAUGCGCUAUUGGAUGGGCCCGCGUUAGAUUAGUUUGUUGGUGAGGUAACGGCUCACCAAGGCGACGAUCUAUAGCUGGUCUGAGAGGAUGAUCAGCCACACUGGGACUGAGACACGGCCCAGACUCCUACGGGAGGCAGCAGUGGGGAAUAUUGGACAAUGGGGGCAACCCUGAUCCAGCGAUGCCGCGUGAGUGAUGAAGGCCCUAGGGUUGUAAAACUCUUUCGUCAGGGAAGAUAAUGACGGUACCUGAAGAAGAAGAUCCGGCUAACUCCGUGCCAGCAGCCGCGGUAAUACGGAGGGGUCUAGCGUUAUUCGGAAUUACUGGGCGUAAAGCGAGCGUAGGCGGAUUUGUAAGUUGGAGGUGAAAUCCCAGAGCUUAACUCUGGAACUGCCUUCAAAACUACAUUUCUUGAGUUUGGUAGAGGAGAGUGGAAUUCCUAGUGUAGAGGUGAAAUUCGUAGAUAUUAGGAGGAACACCAGUGGCGAAGGCGACUCUCUGGGCCAAUACUGACGCUGAGGUUCGAAAGCAUGGGUAGCGAACAGGAUUAGAUACCCUGGUAGUCCAUGCAGUAAACGAUGAGUGCUAGAUGUUGGGAAUUUAAAUUUCCAGUAUCGCAGUUAACGCGUUAAGCACUCCGCCU